GAGUGGGGGUCCUUUGGGGCCCGAUCUCCAACCCUUUGUCUAUUCCACCGCGUCGCCUCGGCGGGCCCGCGCCCGCCGACCGCGACCGCAGUUUUGAAACAUAACCACACAAAACUUUCAACAACGGAUCUCUUGGCUCU
This 140-nucleotide unclassified non-coding RNA is filed under the name rhizosphere metagenome. RNAcentral describes it as "partial ribosomal RNA internal transcribed spacer region". The record is from RNAcentral.